This 161-nucleotide unclassified non-coding RNA is filed under the name uncultured Capnodiales. RNAcentral describes it as "sequence contains ITS2". Lineage: Eukaryota; Fungi; Ascomycota; Dothideomycetes; Capnodiales. RNAcentral also lists the same sequence under 1 other name. The record is from RNAcentral.
AAUCCACUCAAGCCUGGCUUGGUAUUGGGUGCCGGGGACCCCCCGCGCCUCCAUUUCGCCGGCUGGCCGUCGUUUGACUUAGCGUUGUGACACAUGUCGCUAUCGACGAAGACGGACCGCGCCGUGAAAAUCUCCUUGAAUGUUAUUCAAUAUUCAGUAAA